AGAUACCCUGUUAUACUAAAUUAAAAAUAUAUUAAAUCUUGAGUAGUAAAAAUUAAUUUGUUUAAAAUUCAAAGAGUUUGGCGGUAUUUUAGUCCUGUUAGAGGAAUCUGUUUUAUAAACGAUAACCCACGUAAUAUCUUUCUUAUUUUGGUUAUAAUUAGUAUACCGUCAUUAUUAGAUAAUUUUAUUUUGAUAGAAAUUAUUGUAAUUAAUCAAGUUAAAUAUAUUAGAUCAUGGUGCUGUUAAUAAAUAAGUAAAAAUGGAUUACAAUAAAUUUAAUUUAUAACGAAUCUGCUAAAUGAAAAGUUUUUGCGGUGAAGGUGGAUUUAAUAGUAAUGUAAGUUUAAUAAGCUUAGGUGAGAUUGGCUCUAAAAUGUGUACAUA
This 384-nucleotide ribosomal RNA is filed under the name Ibacus peronii. Its description in RNAcentral is "partial 12S ribosomal RNA". Lineage: Eukaryota; Metazoa; Arthropoda; Malacostraca; Decapoda; Scyllaridae. The record is from RNAcentral.